CUCAGGAUGAACGCUGGCGGCGUGCCUAAUACAUGCAAGUCGAGCGAACGGACAGGAGUGCUUGCACUCCUUGAAGUUAGCGGCGGACGGGUGAGUAACACGUGGGUAACCUACCUAUAAGACUGGGAUAACUUCGGGAAACCGGAGCUAAUACCGGAUAAUAUAUACCUCCGCAUGGAGGAAUAGUCAAAGACGGUUCUGCUGUCACUUAUAGAUGGACCCGCGGUGUAUUAGCUAGUUGGUGAGGUAACGGCUCACCAAGGCAACGAUACAUAGCCGACCUGAGAGGGUGAUCGGCCACACUGGGACUGAGACACGGCCCAGACUCCUACGGGAGGCAGCAGUAGGGAAUCUUCCGCAAUGGACGAAAGUCUGACGGAGCAACGCCGCGUGAGUGAAGAAGGUUUUCGGAUCGUAAAACUCUGUUGUAAGGGAAGAACAAGUACGUUAGUAACUGAACGUACCUGAC
Molecule: ribosomal RNA, 469 nt
Filed under: Macrococcoides caseolyticum
Lineage: Bacteria; Bacillati; Bacillota; Bacilli; Caryophanales; Staphylococcaceae
Description: bacterial SSU rRNA
Rfam family: Bacterial small subunit ribosomal RNA
Source: RNAcentral